UACGGAGGGUGCGAGCGUUAAUCGGAAUUACUGGGCGUAAAGCGCGCGUAGGUGGCUUGAUAAGCCGGUUGUGAAAGCCCCGGGCUCAACCUGGGAACGGCAUCCGGAACUGUCAAGCUAGAGUGCAGGAGAGGAAGGUAGAAUUCCCGGUGUAGCGGUGAAAUGCGUAGAGAUCGGGAGGAAUACCAGUGGCGAAGGCGGCCUUCUGGACUGACACUGACGCUGAGGCGCGAAAGCGUGGGGAGCAAACAGG
This 253-nucleotide ribosomal RNA is filed under the name uncultured microorganism. RNAcentral's name for it is "partial 16S ribosomal RNA". It matches the Rfam family "Bacterial small subunit ribosomal RNA", at positions 524 to 776 of the family's 1533-position model. The record is from RNAcentral.